RNAcentral lists this transfer RNA (74 nucleotides) under Pseudoderbesia arbuscula. Its description in RNAcentral is "tRNA-His". It matches the Rfam family "tRNA". From Rfam's summary of the family: Transfer RNA (tRNA) molecules are approximately 80 nucleotides in length. Lineage: Eukaryota; Viridiplantae; Chlorophyta; Ulvophyceae; Bryopsidales; Bryopsidaceae. The record is from RNAcentral.
GGUGGGCGUCGCCAAGUGGUAAGGCAGAGCUUUGUGGCAGCUCUAGUCGUGGGUUCAAUUCCCAUCGUCCGCCU